UCUGCACCUGUAAGCAGCAGGCAUGCCUGCUGUGCUACAUGUGUGCUAGUAGGUGGCAACAAAAAGAAAGGCUAAGUCUAGAGUCAGUGUUUUAACCUGUGAACAUCUGAAUGGUUAGCUGUCCAAU
This is a small nucleolar RNA of Mus pahari (shrew mouse), 127 nucleotides long. RefSeq annotates it as small nucleolar RNA SNORA17. The record is from RefSeq and is a predicted model, not a curated record. The transcript has a single exon. Lineage: Eukaryota; Metazoa; Chordata; Mammalia; Rodentia; Muridae.